Molecule: long non-coding RNA, 672 nt
Organism: Mauremys reevesii (Reeves's turtle)
Lineage: Eukaryota; Metazoa; Chordata; Testudines; Geoemydidae
Exons: 2
Source: RefSeq, a predicted model, not a curated record
UCCAUCUCUCUUUUCUGUCAUCUCCCCUGAAUACGUGAUUGGGGCAUUGGACAGAGAAUUCAUGUGUCUUUGUACAUGAAGUACUUUUGGCAGCAGUACUCACCCAGAAGCCAGCCUCCCUGGGUCUCAUCACUCUUAUGGUACCUCUGGAGUCCUGAGCACGGUAGCAUAGGAGUCAUGAUUGGAUUCUGACUUCCUGAUUACCUCAGUAGUAAAGAAAAUUGCCAUCUCAGAUGGGUCAUGUGGGAAGUAGUGUUUCUCUUGUAGGUCAUAUUCUACAGUCUGGAUGGCUUCAAGGGAUGGGAGUAACACUCAGAAGAGGUGACCUUUAAGGAAGAGACCUUGCUAGCUGGUUUCUUCUGAAUCAAUCCUCAAGUUUACCUGGACAUAACAUAAUCCAGCCACUUACAAAAUAUUCAGCUACAGGGUUUGUCUGGGUCACUCAAAAUCUGACCAAAAACCAUACUGUGAGCCAAGGUAAAUUCCGGGAGAAAGAGGCACACGCAGAGACAGAAAAACGCUAAUCUUGUUUUGUCCCCAUGACAAGAUGAAUAGAAGUUUGCACAAUUUAAAGGAGUUGAAUUUGCCCAGUGGGAAGACCAGCUGAAAAAUAAUAUUGUCCUAUAAUCCAAACACAAAAUAUAAAUAAAAUAAACACAAUUCUUCACUUUA